UCCCCCGGGGUGCAGUUGAGAUAUGAGAGACAUCAUUAGGGAAGAGACGUGAUAUCCCGAAAUCUGCAACUUUGACACUGAAACUCUGAUCAAGGAGUAUGUUAUUAGUCUUGACAUCACAGUGUAUUAUGUCAGAAGCAUGAAGGUAAGCCAAUGCACCAGCAGUUUCUAUGGCAAUGUUCAAGCGGACUGGCCAGGUGAGUGAUCUGUUCUUCGCUCUGUCACCAUGGAGGUGAUCAGCUAGAGUUCCGUUAGGAAUGUAUUCAUAGACAAGGAUUAGUUCACGGCUACGCCUUGAAGUGCAGCCAUAAAGAGUGACAAGAUUGGUGUGCCUUAGCCUAGUAAGGAUCUCAAUUUCAUUUACAAACUGCUGCAUUUGUUUGGAGUUGUGCUCAUAAAGGCGCUUCACAGCAACCUCUCGUCCAUCCUUAAGUUGUCCUAGUCAUUAGUGAACAAGUAUUAGGCACAUGAAGAAAGAAUUGAAGCAUAGCUCAGUUGGAUUAGGAAGUCUCUCACCAUAGUAAACAGUUCCGAACCCUCCAUCUCCAAGAACUCGAGAGGAUUUAAAAUCAUUCGUGGCUUCUUCAAGUUCUGAAUAAGAAAAGACUGGGAUGCCAAAGUAUAUACUGCCUCCCUCAACAUCAUUUUUAAAUAUAUAUGACAAUUUCCUUGUUAAGAGGAAGUGGGGUGGAUUAAAUUUCCUCUUCUUGUAACACCAGAUAAAGUAGACAGCUAAACAAGUUAUCAUCACCAAUACUCCACCAAAAACUGGAAAUAAAUAAAAAUCGAAGGUUUCAAAAAAAAAAGAAGCAAAACAUCGCAAUCUCUCAACUCCACUUUGUCAUUAUGAAUAUGUUUUGAGAAUUUACCACAAUGAAAAAGAAAAUUCAAAGAACAUGUAUGGAAAUUCUGAAAUAGAAAGAAAGAUGAGGUUAAUGGAUAUUUAACUACCUGCUCCAAGAGUCAGUCCCAACUUGCUUCUAUUUGCUUUUGCAUCUAAACAGAAGAGGGAAAAUUAUCAGAUGUCAUAUGAAACAAAAAAGGACCCUAAGAAAUAUGCAUUUGACCUUGAACAUGUUAAUUAUUUUGAGAUGUCUACCUUUGUAACAAAGAAAAUUGUUCUUCUUAUCAGUCUGACAUCGACCUCCACCAUAGUGACAUUUGUUACAGUCAUCAGACAAUUUCCAUUCUACUAGAAAUGCAGAACGUAAGAAGUUGACCAAAUUAUUACCAGGUUCUGUUUGGUAAUAUGGCAAUCUGAUAAGGGAACAGUUGGCAGUAAGAUUGUCUGCUAGAAUGUCUUCAUCAUCAACUCCAUAAAACUUGUAGUAUAUGGUGAAUCCAUCACAGCCAUCAUAUGAGUAAUAACCAUCAAAAUGAUCUUUCAUCUGCUGAUUAAUGUAUGGGUUGUUACUACUAGUCCUAUUGCAUUUGUAGAAGUUCUGAAGGUUAACUGCAGAGAAAGAAAUAGAAGGAGAGCCUGAAAGGGAGAUAUUUUUGUUAAAAGCUUGGCACUUGUUUUUCCUCAAUAUAGUUUGAAGCUUCGGGUCCACGACCCAAACUGUAUAACUAUACUCCUUGCCUAUAGCAUAGUACCAUUCUCCUCCAGGAACCAGUUGGAUUCUUGGAAAUAGUUUAACAUCACAACCAGAGAUGGGAACUAUUCCGCAGUCGGGUUGUGUGGAAAGAGAGAAAGGAAAGCUCAGGUCAGUAAGAUUUCCACAUGAAAAGGACUUUGGACAAGUUGAAUCAUUUCUCCCCUUUGCCUGAACUAACAUCAGAAGAAGAGAUAGAAUAACGCAAACAGACGAAGAAGCCAAAGACAUAUUGUGAAUCCUACUGCAAGAAGAGCAAAGCUAGCUGAAGUUUUUGUGAAUUGCAACUCUAGUUCACCAGACUGGUAUCUUAUAAGAUCAAGUGCCAUAACUUCUAAACACUUUCUCCAUUAAUAGUCUCCAUCUUACUGGUAAAACUUGUCAAAAAGAAAUACUAACUGGAACCAAACAUAAUCAGACUUAUUGAGGAAACAAAGGCAAGGCUUAGAAAAUAUUGAAACUUUCACAUCAGUAAAGACUUGACUUAUUGACUCUGCAAUAUACCAGGCAACUUCUUAUCAGUUUCAGGACCAAAGUCUUCAAAAAUGGUUGACUUAACCUGUAGAAAUAUGAAAAUGAAAAGGUUCUAGUCACACCCCAAAACACAACUAAAGAUAGUUUGAUAAUGUAAAAAGAAUACUGCAUACUUAUCAGGUAGCUUCAUAUCUCCUCCUUAUGGUGAACAAAUCCAGUCUUCCAUUUGCUCAUUCUCACUAGAAAUUACCAAGAAAGUUUUCCAAGUAUAGCAGAGUAUAUACGGUGUAAGCUAGAAAUACUUGCAAUGUUCCAAGCCAUCUUCUACAAAAUUUUGAAAAAGUAACAAAUCAGCAAUCAGUAUUCUAGAAUAUGGAACACUGGCCCCUCUAUUCCAUGACUAACAUUGAAACAAUAGUGCAUAUCACUAUGACUAAAUACUCAUAAAUUUCUAACGAUGGCCCCUCAAAUUCCAUGAAACAUAAACCUUAUCUUCUUCUUUUUUCUCUAACUUCUCCCAUCAUUUUCUGUUACACCAGCUUUUGAUCCCAAAAAGAAAAGAAAGUGUGUCAUUGGACAGAGCCAUUGCUUUACAUUUUCCAACCUUCCAGUGUAUAUAACAGCUCUUAUAUAAUGAAACUAAAAAUUGAAUCACUUCCACUCGUAGAUACAUUGCUCAAGAAACUUCUCCGAGUAGUACAUUCAUAGUCUCUCAAAAUCUACAUCAAUAACAAAGGAAGGGGGUACAGAACUACUUUGUACUAGUUAUACUAGAGCAAGUAAUCCAUUUACCAGUCACAGAAUUUGGUGAAGGUAGUGAUUUAACUUGUUUAAGCAAUAACUGAUCUUCUGAUUCAGGGAAAGGAAAUACUUUCUUUUCAUUGUCAAAUUCACUAGUCUGAAUCUCCUUUAGAGUAUCCAAAACUUCAACCAUAGUAGGCCUCAUGUCCCUAUCUGUCUGUAAGCAUAGAAAAGCCAGCUCUGCCACUGAAGUAGUCAUUUCCAAAAUCUUGGUAUCUGAGUCGAACCCCAGGGAUGGAUCGAUCAACUCAUGAAAUGCACAUUUUACGAUCUUGUUUAUAGCAAAGUUAGCCAAAUUAAUUUCUUGGCUAUGCCUGUUCAUAUCCACAGCUGGCAUUGAUGAAAUGAGCUCAACAAGGACCACCCCGAAGCUAUAGACAUCACUUUUACUAGUCAGCUGAUAACAUUCUUGAUACUUUGGAUCAAUAUAGCCAGGGGUCCCCCGGGGUGCAGUUGAUAUAUGAGAGACGUCAUUUGGGAAGAGACGUGAUAUCCCGAAAUCUGCAACUUUGACACUGAAAUUCUGAUCAAGGAGUAUGUUAUUAGUCUUGACAUCACAGUGUAUUAUGUCAGAAGCAUGAAGGUAAGCCAAUGCACCAGCAGUUUCUAUGGCAAUGUUCAAACGGACUGGCCAGGUGAGUGAUCUGUUCUUCGCUCUGUCACCAUGGAGGUGAUCAGCAAGAGUUCCAUUAGGAAUGUAUUCAUAGACAAGGAGUAGUUCACGGCUACGCCUUGAUGUGCAGCCAUAGAGGGUGACAAGAUUGUUGUGCCUUAGCCUAGUAAGGAUCUCAAUUUCAUUUACAAACUGCUGCAUUUGUUUGCAGUUCUGCUCGUAAAGGCGCUUCACAGCAACCUCUCGUCCAUCCUUUAGUUUUCC
RNAcentral lists this long non-coding RNA (3747 nucleotides) under Solanum tuberosum (potato). RNAcentral describes it as "long non-coding RNA (STUB_LNC005361)". Lineage: Eukaryota; Viridiplantae; Streptophyta; Magnoliopsida; Solanales; Solanaceae. The record is from RNAcentral.